RNAcentral lists this ribosomal RNA (460 nucleotides) under uncultured bacterium. RNAcentral describes it as "partial 16S ribosomal RNA". It matches the Rfam family "Bacterial small subunit ribosomal RNA", at positions 338 to 795 of the family's 1533-position model. The record is from RNAcentral.
CCUACGGGAGGCAGCAGUGAGGAAUAUUGGUCAAUGGCCGGAAGGCUGAACCAGCCAUGCCGCGUGAAGGUCAGUGCCCUAUGGGCGUUAAACUUCUUUUGUGCGGGAGCAAUAAUGGUCACGUGUGGCCAGACGAGAGUACCGUACGAAUAAGCAUCGGCUAACUCCGUGCCAGGAGCCGCGGUAAUACGGGGGAUGCAAGCGUUAUUCCGAAUUAUUGGGUUUAAAGGGUGCGUAGGCUGUGAGGUAAGUCGGCGGUGAAAUGCCCGCGCUCAACGGGGUGAAGUGCCAUUGAUACUGGCUGGCUGGAGUGCGGAUGCGGUGGGAGGAAUGUGUGGUGUAGCGGUGAAAUGCAUAGAUAUCACACAGAACACCGAUUGCGAAGGCAUCUCACGAAUCCGCGAUUGACGCUGAUGCACGAAAGCGUGGGUAUCAAACAGGAUUAGAUACCCGGGUAGUC